Non-coding RNA from Maylandia zebra (zebra mbuna), 374 nucleotides. NCBI's taxonomy places the organism in Eukaryota, Metazoa, Chordata, Actinopteri, Cichliformes, Cichlidae. The record is from RefSeq and is a predicted model, not a curated record.
ACAGAGGUCAGGAAAUGAAACAAUGGAGAACUUCACGUAUGAAAGCUUCUCACCUCCGCUGACAGAGGAGGAACCUGACUACAGUGAAAUCUGCUUGUCCAAGAAUAAAACAGAGACUCUCUACUCCACUAUUCAGCCAUUUCAACCACAAAAGCAGGACCAUCACCCCUAUGAUGUUGUGGACUUGAGAAACAAGACUGCUCCUGAGCUCAAUGAACAGGCUCUGGACACCUAGAAACUUUACAACACAUCAACCUAAAGAAGAUAAAAUAUAACAACACAUCUGGCUGUACAGGACUUGAGUGAAUUUGUUGAGAUGUUGGCCUUUUUUUUGAUGAGUAUUUACGUGUUGUGGGUGCUCUUGACAGCAUUAA